Parabacteroides goldsteinii dnLKV18 is the source of this 149-nucleotide non-coding RNA. The record is from Rfam. Lineage: Bacteria; Pseudomonadati; Bacteroidota; Bacteroidia; Bacteroidales; Tannerellaceae.
CCUCCAGUUCCGUCUGGAGUAGCCUACGGACACAUGCAUUAGGAGUAAUUCUUUUGUAUGAAGCUGUCCCGACAAGGUAGCCUUUCCGAAAGGAGAAGAUUGAACCGUGAGGGGAAAUCAACGGCUGAUAACACCAUUCAGCACGAGGA